Molecule: transfer RNA, 69 nt
Filed under: Triplophysa sp. ZP-2016
Lineage: Eukaryota; Metazoa; Chordata; Actinopteri; Cypriniformes; Nemacheilidae
Description: tRNA-Ser
Source: RNAcentral
AAGGAAGGCCUAAAGGCAGUAAGUACUGCUAAUACUUAUGUUCAUGGUUAAACUCCGUGGCUUCCUUGU